AAUUUUUUUAAAGUUUUUGUUACAAAAAUAACCCUCAAUGAAAAAAAUGACUAAAAUAAGUUUUAUUAAAAAGUAAAAUACAUUUAUACCCUAGAGUUAACUAAUCUAAACUUGAGAUUUAGAGUCAAGGAGUGAGAUUUUGAGGUUAGGUUUUCAAAUUUAAAAAAAUAAAAACUAAAUAUUGAAAUUUACAAAUAAAAAAGAGCUAUUUUGGUCAUUUUUUUUAUUGGAAGUUAUUUUUGUGACAAAAACUUAAAAAUAGCUAUUUGAGAGAAUUGCCCUAUUAUAAACAUUUAACUUAUUUUCAAUAAACUUUAAUAAUAGAUUGAUAUCUUAUAAUAUUAUAAAACAAAUUCUAGUAUAGUUUCAUCAUUAAAAUAUUUAUUGUUAUUUAUUUAAAAUUUGGAAAUGGUGUAUCAUACAAUUUAAUAAUAUAAAAGUGUUUCUUUUCUAAAUAAUCAACUAAACACUUAAUGAAAAUUUCCUUUGAAUUUUGCGAUUUUUUUCAUUUCGCGAUUUUUCUUGAUUGGCAAAAUACUUGUGUAAUCGCGUUUAAAAAGUGAUUCCACCAAUCCGCAAAGUUUCCAAUCAAAGCCUUUAUUUGGGUAGGAAUUUCAAAUUCUUGUUGUUGGUAUCUCGUCGGUUGUCGAAUGUAGAGCUGGGAUCGAAACCCGCUGGUUCCGCCCUGUUUGAUCCGCUGCAGGAUAGAUCAACCACUUUAAAAAAAAAAAAAUUGCGGGUGUGAGUUGAGAUUAUUUUAAACGGGACGAAUGUGGAUCAGCCAAAUAUGAGUUGCAUAUACCCGCCAACAAUUUAAAAACAAAAUGUACAAGAAUUUUUGUCGUAAAAGUAGAUAAAAUAUUAUAAAUAUUUUAUUUUCAUAUUAUUUUUAAAAACAUGAUUAAUAUAUAAUUAAAAAUAUUAUUUUUGAUAUAACUAAUUUACCAGCGGAUCCGGUGGAUUGCCCGUGGAUUUUGGCAAAGCGGGUACGGAUGUAAGAUUUUUUGUUUGCGGAUUAUGUGGAUUAAAUUUUUGAAUCAAAAAAAAUAAAUUGAUCUGUGGAAGGGCGGAUUGAUCCACAAACCCUACACUAGUCGAAUGGGUUUGCAUAAAAGGACAAAUGAAUAAUACAUGAAAAUAAGAUUUGAAAUUUAAGGAUUUUCACUAGCAGUAACAAAACCUUCAGUCUUGUAUGCAGAAAAAUUCUAAAUUAAUAAAAUAUUAAUGUAUUUAUCACAAAUUUUAUAAUCACCCUAAAAUCAGUUCAAAAUUUCUUUGAAUCAUUUAAAUUUAGUAUAAGAAUACUCCUAAAAUUUGUAAUUUAUGACAUGUUUGUUUUUGUAUCCAAAUGCUUCAUCUGAAUGUUAAUAUUCAGAUGAUUCUCGUUUGGACAAUAUUGCAUCAUCAUCUAUAUGCAAUAUCUAGAUGCCAAAUCUAUAAUAUCUAGAAUAUUUAGAUAUUUGAAAUGAAAAAAAUAUAGAGUUUGGAUGUUACAUUUUCAUCUUAAAAUUCAAAAGAUUUUAAAUACCUCUAAUAUAAAUAUAAAAUUAAUUAAACUAGUUAUUAUAAUUAUAAUACAAUAUUGUAAUCGAGAAAUUGUAUUUUUCCAUAAAAACUAAAAAUUGCGUUUUUCCGCCAAAAUUAUAAAAUUUAGUUUUCACGAACACCGUAAAAUCAUAUUUUCUCGCCAAACUGUAAAAAUACAUUUUCUACCAACACAGAAAAAUCACGUUUUUCUGUAAAAAUGUAAAAUUACAUUUUUUGCUAAAACCAUAAAAUCAUAAAGUUGUAUAUGCUCAUCAAUAUUAUUAGCCUAGUUGGCAUAUGUAUACUUUGUUAAGAUAAAUAAUUUUCUUGACAACACAAAGAAUAGUUUAUAGUCCCCUUCAAGUAUUUAAAGAUCGUCUUCAUUGCCCUUUAGUGUGUUAUUGACUUAUUUCUCGAACUUAAUUUGGAAUGACUAAGAAAACUAACCACAUAAUACAUAUCAGGUCAAAUGUACAUCAUACAACACAUCAAGUUUUAUACAACAUUAGAAUAGUGGAUUCUUUCAAUAUCACUUUUUUAUCAUCAAUUUGGAGUCAUAUAAGUAAACUACGUGCAAUGGACUUGUUGAAAAAUUAUUUCAACAGUUGAAUAGCCACAUUGAGGCUGUUGAAUAAUUGAGGAAAGUGACGUGGAUUACAUUUUGUUGAAUUCAUUCAACCGGUUGAAAGAAGCAAUGUGGAACCUACAAGAGUAACUUUGGCUUAUUCUCAGCCAUACAAAAUGAGAAAAGUUGUCCACAUUGUAUUUUUUUUUUGCUUAAAAACAAUAAAUCCGAUUGGUGCAAGUGUCACCAUACUAUUAGCUGUUCAGAUUUCAUAUAUUUUUAUCUCAUCCAAAUUUUUGAGAUCAAUUAUUUUAUUUUAAAUAAUAUUAUUUUAUAUAAAAAUAUAUCAAAAUUCAUAACUUUCAUACUCUAUAAAUAGAGUCUUGGUUCAUUAGGUUUAGACAUAGAGAAAAAAAUCAGUUUUUGACUAUAAUAUUUCUAUAUUCUCUUUUGUGUCAAUAAUGGAUCAAAACAAUAACCUUUUUAAUACUCAAAACUCCACAAAUUAUCCUCUCAAUUAUCAAAAUCUCAACAAUUACCAAUUUCAAAAUUCAGCUUUCAACCAACCCCAAAAUAUACCAAUUUUUUCUAUGGCUUAUGUUCCAAACUAUCGUCCAUAAUAUGGAUCAAUGAUGCCAUAUUCAUUUCCACCACCUUUUUUUAUUCUUCUCCUUCCAUGGGUAAUGAAAAUAUUUUAAACGUUGGAACAAUUAAAUUUCCUGAAUUUUUUACACAAACAACUCCUGGAGGCAUAAGCGGGUCACUCUCAAUGCAGAGGAUCCGCUUCCUACUCGCCGGAAAAGCCCCAAAUGGACUACUGCAUAAAAUUUGGUGUUGCUAGGUGGAUGGAUUAAAUAUGAAACAGACAACAUUGUUGGCAGAAACCAAAAAGUGAGUCAUAUUGGGGACAAACUGCUGAGUACUGUAACAAACAUUGCUCAUUCGAUCUUCCUCAUGAUGGAGCAGAGUGGGUGGUCAGAGAAUGAUGUUUUAGCUAAAGUGCACGAACUAUAGUCAAGUGGUAAGAAUGGUCAUUUCAAUUUAUUGUCAGAAUGGCUCGCUGUCCGUGAUCAACCACGCUAUGGUAGUCAAGUAGGAGGAAAAACAGGUUCGGGAAGUAGUGGGUCUAAGAGAUUCCACGAGAGUGAUGCAAGUGACUCAAAUUACUGUUUGAUUUUUUUAUGCUUUAAUAUGUAUGUUUUUUUUUAUUUAAUCAUGUAUAUUGUUUCUUCUACUUUAAUAAGUGUGUCAAUGCAGUCUGUGACCGUUGGUGCAAAUCAAGGGGGUAAUGUCUCUUUAUGAUUUUUAUGCUUUAUUAAUGUUAUUUAUUUUUUCUGCUUUAAUCAUGUAUUUUUUUAUUUUCUACUUUAAUAAAUGUCUCGAUGCAAUCUGUGACCA
Brassica napus (rape) is the source of this 3490-nucleotide long non-coding RNA. RefSeq lists it as uncharacterized. The transcript is spliced from 2 exons. NCBI's taxonomy places the organism in Eukaryota, Viridiplantae, Streptophyta, Magnoliopsida, Brassicales, Brassicaceae. The record is from RefSeq and is a predicted model, not a curated record.